GGGCACGGUGGCGCACGCCUGUAGUCCCAGCUACUCCGGAGGCUGAGACAGGAGGAUUGCUUGAGUCCAGGAGUUCUGGGCUGUAGUGCGGAUCAGGUGUCCGCACUAAGUUCGGCAUCAAUAUGGUGACAUCCCGGGGACAGGGCACCACCAGGUUGCCUAAGGAGGGGUGAACCGGUUCAGGUCAGAAACGGAGCAGGUAAAAAUUCCCCGGGCUGAUCAGUAGUGGGAUCGCGCCUGUGAAUAGCCACUGCACUCCAGCCUGGGCAACACAGCGAGAACCCGUCUCUUUAAAAAAAAAAAAGACAAUAACCACUUGUCAACGUUUCCCAGUCCAAUGCUUCUCCCACUCAAAGCAUUGUGAAAGCUGAACACCAAUACUAGGUCCCACGAGUCCUCCUAACACUGGUGGGAACUGAGAAGUCUGGCAGGAACUCCAGUCAGAUGGUCACCUCUUUAUGGAGAGCCAGAGGCAGCCAGGGAGACCAGCAAAGAAAGGAGGAAGCCUAGAAACGUGAACUACUUGCUCUGGACAAGGAAACCCUGCUCUAUCUGUGCUCUCUUACGUCUCUGCCUCCUCGACCUUGCACUAGAGAAGCCCCACUAUGAGGAGACCGAGAGCUGCCCUCCUCUGACCGCGCAUCCUUUUCAAGAGAGAGCAGAAAGCGUUGUCCGGCUUUCCCCAUUAAACAGACGGAGAGAUGUUCUAAGCUGGCCAGGAUUCUGAACGCCCUGCCAACGGUCUUUUCCCAGCAGAUCGGCAGCAGAACAGGCUCUCGCCUGUCAGACCUACCUGAAGUGCCCUCUUUCAUGCAGUCCUAUCUGUCAGCUGGAGGACCAGUUCUGGGAGGUGGACGUUGUUCUUCGGGCUCCAAAGGCCAUAUGCUAAAAAUACUGAUGGCAGAGACGGACACCCGAAGAGCACUUGGCAGUGAGGAUACUGUGCUGUGUGGAGCCUGUCCUUCAGGGGAAGAUCUCCCAGCUGCCCAGUGUAAACAAACACAGUGCCCCACCCUACUUCUCAGGAAAGCGAGUGAGUUCUCACUCCCGUGGUGCCGAACUAGUUCCUGGACCAUCAAGUUCUGAGAAGGAGAAAGCAACGCACAGCCUUCACCAACCAGACAUGGCUGCCCAGUCUUGGACUUCUCAGGUUCCAGAGCAAUCAACCAAAAUAAACAAGUGAUUUGG
Mus musculus (house mouse) is the source of this 1188-nucleotide long non-coding RNA. RefSeq annotates it as predicted gene, 24105. The transcript has 3 exons. The record is from RefSeq and is marked validated. NCBI's taxonomy places the organism in Eukaryota, Metazoa, Chordata, Mammalia, Rodentia, Muridae.